UACGUAGGGUGCAAGCGUUAAUCGGAAUUACUGGGCGUAAAGCGUGCGCAGGCGGCUUUGCAAGACAGAUGUGAAAUCCCCGGGCUUAACCUGGGAACUGCGUCUGAUACUGGGAGGCUUGAGUAUGGGAGAGGGAUGUAGAAUUCCAGGUGUAGCGGUGAAAUGCGUAGAUAUCUGGAGGAAUACCGGUGGCGAAGGCGGCAUCCUGGACCAUAACUGACGCUGAGGCGCGAAAGCUAGGGGAGCAAACGGG
This 253-nucleotide ribosomal RNA is filed under the name uncultured bacterium. RNAcentral's name for it is "partial 16S ribosomal RNA". It matches the Rfam family "Bacterial small subunit ribosomal RNA", at positions 524 to 776 of the family's 1533-position model. The record is from RNAcentral.